Molecule: ribosomal RNA, 221 nt
Filed under: uncultured bacterium
Lineage: Bacteria
Description: partial 16S ribosomal RNA
Rfam family: Bacterial small subunit ribosomal RNA
Source: RNAcentral
GUUCUCAGUUCGGACUGCAGUCUGCAACUCGACUGCACGAAGCUGGAAUCGCUAGUAAUCGCGGAUCAGCACGCCGCGGUGAAUACGUUCCCGGGCCUUGUACACACCGCCCGUCACACCAUGGAAGUCUGCAAUGCCCGAAGCCGGUGGCCUAACCACUUAUGUGGAAGGAGCCGUCUAAGGCAGGGCAGACGACUGGGGUGAAGUCGUAACAAGGUACC